RNAcentral lists this unclassified non-coding RNA (159 nucleotides) under uncultured Chaetothyriales. RNAcentral describes it as "sequence contains ITS2". The record is from RNAcentral. Lineage: Eukaryota; Fungi; Ascomycota; Eurotiomycetes; Chaetothyriales.
UCACAAUAUCAAGCUUGGCUUGUUGUUGGGCCCUCUGUCACCUGGUGGCAGGUCCAAAAGACAAUAACCGGUGUCAUGCAGACUCUAUAUGCAACGAGCUUAUAACAGCACGCAUCUGGUGGUCGUGUGGCCCGGUUUUUAUAUAAAUACAUUUCUCAA